UACGUAGGGGGCAAGCGUUGUCCGGAUUUAUUGGGCGUAAAGAGCGUGUAGGCGGUCAGGUAGGUCGGUUGUGAAAACUGGAGGCUUAACCUCCAGACGUCGAUGGAAACCGUCUGGCUAGAGUCCGGAAGAGGAGAGUGGAAUUCCUGGUGUAGCGGUGAAAUGCGCAGAUAUCAGGAAGAACACCCGUGGCUAAGGCGGCUCUCUAGUACGGUACUGACGCUGAGACGCGAAAGCGUGGGGAGCGAACAGG
Molecule: ribosomal RNA, 253 nt
Filed under: uncultured bacterium
Lineage: Bacteria
Description: partial 16S ribosomal RNA
Rfam family: Bacterial small subunit ribosomal RNA
Source: RNAcentral